RNAcentral lists this ribosomal RNA (433 nucleotides) under uncultured bacterium. RNAcentral's name for it is "partial 16S ribosomal RNA". It matches the Rfam family "Bacterial small subunit ribosomal RNA", at positions 29 to 507 of the family's 1533-position model. The record is from RNAcentral.
AACGAACGCUGGCGGCAUGCCUAACACAUGCAAGUCGAACGAGACCUUCGGGUCUAGUGGCGCACGGGUGCGUAACGCGUGGGAACCUGCCCUUAGGUUCGGAAUAACUCCCCGAAAGGGGUGCUAAUACCGGAUAAUGUCUUCGGACCAAAGAUUUAUCGCCUUUGGAUGGGCCCGCGUUGGAUUAGCUAGUUGGUAGGGUAAAAGCCUACCAAGGCGACGAUCCAUAGCUGGUCUGAGAGGAUGAUCAGCCACACUGGGACUGAGACACGGCCCAGACUCCUACGGGAGGCAGCAGUGGGGAAUAUUGGACAAUGGGCGAAAGCCUGAUCCAGCAAUGCCGCGUGAGUGAUGAAGGCCUUAGGGUUGUAAAGCUCUUUUACCCGGGAUGAAAAUGACAGUACCGGGAGAAUAAGCGCCGGCUAACUCCGUG